GACGAACGCUGGCGGCGUGCUUAACACAUGCAAGUCGAACGGAAAGGCCCUGCGUUUGUGGGGUGCUCGAGUGGCGAACGGGUGAGUAACACGUGAGUAACCUGCCCUUGACUUUGGGAUAACUUCAGGAAACUGGGGCUAAUACCGGGUAGGAGCUCCUGCUGCAUGGUGGGGGUUGGAAAGUUUCGGCGGUUGGGGAUGGACUCGCGGCUUAUCAGCUUGUUGGGGGGGUAGUGGCUUACCAAGGCUUUGACGGGUAGCCGGCCUGAGAGGGUGAACGGGCUCAUUAGGACUGCGGUACGGCCCAGACUCCUACGGGACGCAGCAGUGGGGAAUAUUACAGAACGGGCGGACGCCAGAGGCAGCAACGCCCCGUGCGGGAUGCUGGCCUACGGGUUGAAAACAGAUUUCGACUGUGACGAAGCGAGAGUGACGGUAAUGGGUAAAGAAGCACCGGCUAACUACGUG
RNAcentral lists this ribosomal RNA (468 nucleotides) under uncultured bacterium. RNAcentral describes it as "partial 16S ribosomal RNA". It matches the Rfam family "Bacterial small subunit ribosomal RNA", at positions 28 to 507 of the family's 1533-position model. The record is from RNAcentral.